Molecule: ribosomal RNA, 320 nt
Filed under: uncultured Cercomonas
Lineage: Eukaryota; Cercozoa; Cercomonadida; Cercomonadidae
Description: SSU rRNA
Rfam family: Eukaryotic small subunit ribosomal RNA (bases 107-320)
Source: RNAcentral
GAUUUCUGGUUCGGCGCGCCUCGCCCGUCUCGGUCUUCGGGACAGUGUGCCUGGUGCGCCAUCCAUCCUUCGAGUAAUCAUCUUUGCCUUCACGGGUAAGGGUGCCUACCUCGAUCUUUUACUUUGAAAAAAUUAGAGUGUUUAAAGCAGGCUUGCGCUAUGAAUACAUUAGCAUGGAAUAAUAAUUUAGGACUUUGGUUCUAUUUUGUUGGUUUCUAGGACUGAAGUAAUGAUUGAUAGGGACAGUUGGGGGUGCUAGUAUUCAGCGGCCAGAGGUGAAAUUCUUGGAUUCGCUGAAGACUAACUUAUGCGAAAGCAUU